UACGGAGGGUGCGAGCGUUGUCCGGAAUCACUGGGCGUAAAGGGCGCGUAGGCGGCGCGGGUAGUCAUCGGUGAAAGUUCAGGGCUCAACUCUGAAUCGGCCGGUGAUACUCCCGUGCUCGAGCACUGUAGAGGCAGGUGGAAUUCCACGUGUAGCGGUGAAAUGCGUAGAGAUGUGGAGGAACACCAGUGGCGAAGGCGACUCUUUGGCCUGUAACUGACACUGAGGCGCGAAAGCGUGGGGAGCAAACAGG
This 253-nucleotide ribosomal RNA is filed under the name uncultured bacterium. RNAcentral's name for it is "partial 16S ribosomal RNA". It matches the Rfam family "Bacterial small subunit ribosomal RNA", at positions 524 to 776 of the family's 1533-position model. The record is from RNAcentral.